GAUGAAGAACGUAGCGAAAUGCGACAAGUAAUGUGAAUUGCAGAAUUCAGUGAAUCAUCGAGUCUUUGAACGCACAUUGCGCCCCCUGGUAUUCCGGGGGGCAUGCCUGUCCGAGCGUCAUUGCUGCCCUCAAGCACGGCUUGUGUGUUGGGCCUCCGUCCUCCUCCCGGGGGACGGGCCCGAAAGGCAGCGGCGGCACCGCGUCCGGUCCUCGAGCGUAUGGGGCUUCGUCACCCGCUCUUGUAGGCCCGGCCGGCGCUUGCCGACACAUCAAUCUUUUUUCCAGGUUGACCUCGGAUCAGGUAGGGAUACCCGCUGAACUUAAGCAUAUCAAUAAGCGGAGGA
Molecule: unclassified non-coding RNA, 345 nt
Filed under: soil metagenome
Description: partial contains 5.8S ribosomal RNA, internal transcribed spacer 2, and large subunit ribosomal RNA
Rfam family: 5.8S ribosomal RNA (bases 1-120)
Source: RNAcentral